This 368-nucleotide ribosomal RNA is filed under the name uncultured organism. RNAcentral's name for it is "bacterial SSU rRNA". It matches the Rfam family "Bacterial small subunit ribosomal RNA", at positions 526 to 896 of the family's 1533-position model. The record is from RNAcentral.
CGGAGGGUGCAAGCGUUAUCCGGAUUCACUGGGUUUAAAGGGUGCGUAGGUGGGCAGGUAAGUCAGUGGUGAAAUCUCCGGGCUUAACCCGGAAACUGCCAUUGAUACUAUUUGUCUUGAAUACUGUGGAGGUCAGCGGAAUAUGUCAUGUAGCGGUGAAAUGCUUAGAUAUGACAUAGAACGCCAAUUGCGAAGGCAGCUGGCUACACAAAUAUUGACACUGAGGCACGAAAGCGUGGGGAUCAAACAGGAUUAGAUACCCUGGUAGUCCACGCCCUAAACUAUGGAUACUCGACAUUUGCGAUAAACUGCAAGUGUCUGAGCGAAAGCAUUAAGUAUCCCACCUGGGAAGUACGAUCGCAAGAUUG